UUUAUUGGAGAGUUUGAUCCUGGCUCAGGAUGAACGCUGGCGGCGUGCCUAAUACAUGCAAGUCGAGCGAAUGAAUUAAGAGCUUGCUCUUAUGAAGUUAGCGGCGGACGGGUGAGUAACACGUGGGUAACCUGCCCGUAAGACUGGGAUAACUCCGGGAAACCGGGGCUAAUACCGGAUAACAUUUUGAACCGCAUGGUUCGAAAUUGAAAGGCGGCUUCGGCUGU
RNAcentral lists this ribosomal RNA (227 nucleotides) under Bacillus thuringiensis serovar pingluonsis. RNAcentral's name for it is "partial 16S ribosomal RNA". It matches the Rfam family "Bacterial small subunit ribosomal RNA", at positions 1 to 218 of the family's 1533-position model. The record is from RNAcentral. Lineage: Bacteria; Bacillati; Bacillota; Bacilli; Caryophanales; Bacillaceae.